GGGGCUGUAGUCUAGUGGUUAAGACGCUGCUCUCGCAUUAUCCUUUCUCUACUUUACCUCUGGGUCCAAGGUUCAGGAAGGAUAAAGAAAUGUGUACAGCAGAGGCCGCGAGUUCGACUCUCGCCAGCUCCA
This is a non-coding RNA of Delphinella strobiligena, 132 nucleotides long. The record is from the annotation of a GenBank genome assembly. NCBI's taxonomy places the organism in Eukaryota, Fungi, Ascomycota, Dothideomycetes, Dothideales, Dothioraceae.